UACAGAGGGGGCAAGCGUUGUUCGGAAUUACUGGGCGUAAAGGGCGCGUAGGCGGCCUGUUAAGUCGAACGUGAAAUCCCCGGGCUCAACCCGGGAAUUGCGCGCGAAACGGGGGGGCUUGAGUUCGGGAGAGGAGCGUGGAAUUCCCAGUGUAGAGGUGAAAUUCGUAGAUAUCAGGAGGAACACCUGUGGCGAAAGCGGCUCACUGGACCAUUACUGACGCUGAGGCGCGAAAGCUAGGGGAGCAAACAGG
Molecule: ribosomal RNA, 253 nt
Filed under: uncultured bacterium
Lineage: Bacteria
Description: partial 16S ribosomal RNA
Rfam family: Bacterial small subunit ribosomal RNA
Source: RNAcentral